This is a long non-coding RNA of Symsagittifera roscoffensis, 443 nucleotides long. RefSeq lists it as uncharacterized. The transcript is spliced from 3 exons. The record is from RefSeq and is a predicted model, not a curated record. NCBI's taxonomy places the organism in Eukaryota, Metazoa, Xenacoelomorpha, Acoela, Convolutidae.
CCAAUUAUGUAAAUUGGCAGCAAUCAUUUGCCCACAAAUUGCAGGAAAAUCCAAAGCAUCUGCUGGAAACAUUUGCAUCGCUUCUUUUUUCAUUCAGUCGUUAGUUUUUUCAGCAGAAUGUACCUUGAAGUGUGUUCGAUUGUGACCUUCUUAGCCCUGCUGAUGAUUUUGAUUUCGUGGAAAAUUACCAGCUAGAUUAUCUCACGCUUCUGCAUGUUUGGCCACAGUGAGGAUCAUGUUGCCUUGCAUCGCAAGUUCAGAAUUACGGCCUACCUCUUUGGAUCGAGAGAUGUUAGGCAAAUCAGUGCUGUCAGAGUCUCGGGCUGUCAAAUUAGGCAAAUCAGAGUCUCGGGCAAAAAAGAUGAAGCUCAAAACAGGACGUCUUGAUCAAUAAUGAAACCGUGAAAAUCCUCACUUUCUUAAUUUGAAAUUUUGGAUCAAAA